ACCUCCCGCGCCCCGCAGCUGUGCACAGCCAGUCCCCUCCCCUGGGUUGCCUAACAAACUUGCCUGAAGCCCUGCACUGAAAGCAAGGCAGAUCAGAUUCAGACCCCGCGACGUGAUAAGCUCCGCCCACAACGGCAAUAAGCUCCGCCUCCUGGGUAGCCUGCAGCCGUGUUUUCUCACAUUGCCUGAAGCUCUGUCCCCAUGCUAUCUAAACACUCUGCCCCUCGGCUGCUCCACUCCUUUUACAUUGAGGCUGGAGCCACCCCUGCCUUCCCCUGGGAAGCCAGAAGCCCCGCCCAAUGCCUGAUUAGCUCCGCCCCCUGGAAGUUAGCAAUGUGUCCCCUUGAGUAUAUCAGAACUACAACUUAGUGCUGCUCCUUCAGCUGUUGUCAGUCCUGGUCCUUCUACUUCUCUGUUGCUGCAUACAGUUGUGUGGACUUGGAGAAGUAUUCUGCAGCUGUUAUCUGUCACUGGCUACAGAGCGAGACAGAGAAUUAUGGGAAGGCGUAAAGGGAAAGCUCCGCAGGUGGAAUUUAGGGAACAGGACGCACAAGAUCUCGUCAUUGGUUCACCAUAUGGCGUAGUCUCGCUGGCUGGUCCUUCCCCACUAGAUGCAUUGCCAGGAUUUAAUCAGGAAGCCCCAGAUGCUGGUAUUA
Pseudophryne corroboree (corroboree frog) is the source of this 656-nucleotide long non-coding RNA. RefSeq lists it as uncharacterized. Lineage: Eukaryota; Metazoa; Chordata; Amphibia; Anura; Myobatrachidae. The record is from RefSeq and is a predicted model, not a curated record. The transcript is spliced from 3 exons.